Molecule: long non-coding RNA, 1049 nt
Organism: Oxyura jamaicensis (ruddy duck)
Lineage: Eukaryota; Metazoa; Chordata; Aves; Anseriformes; Anatidae
Exons: 3
Source: RefSeq, a predicted model, not a curated record
CAGAUGCUGGCUCUGAAAGAUUGGCGGGGAUGGAUGGCCGUGGGGGGGCCGGGCUUUAGGGCACCGUCACCCCCUUCGUUAUCAGGCAUUACCUGCCCACAGUCAGCCCCGAAAUCACUGCUGGCUGUGAGGAAACUGAUUUAAACAGGAAACAUACGCAUAAUGGAACGUGCCGAAUGGUAGCAAUUGCUAAAUCGUUUGUAUCUGUGCAGAGGGAGUGCAAAACGGAGCAGGUCUGGGCUUGCUUUGCAAAGUGCAAUCACUGAUAAACGAUUGGGCAAGAGAUGUGAUCAGAAACUGUGAACUUGAGGAAAAACGGCGUUUUGAUGUGCAGAAAUCAGACUCUAUAACCUCGGAAUGGUUAUAAAGCAGGUAUACAUUUAUGCUCACAGCAUGGGACAGCUCUCGUAAAGGUACUUCUCUGUCCAUCAGUCUCUCCUGCCAACUCUGGUGGGAGUGUCAAGAUGUGGCAAGAGGGAUUUCCUAUUCCUAAUUUGACCUGGUGUACACCAGCUUUCCUAGUAGAUUGCUGAGGAGGCAGCAGUAUCAAAGCCCUUGCUAAUGAAGAUGUAACAACUUCGGGGAGGCUCUGGACUUUGGUUAUGAUGCUGCUCCCUGGUUGUGACCCAAGACUCAAAUUUUGAAUGAAGCAAACCAGGCUAGAAGAAAACUGUAUGUCCUGAAACCACUUGGCUAGCCAAGCUGAAUCAUUGCAAAUGGAAGUAGUGGAACUCCUUCACAACCGGGCUGCUGCUUCUAAGCAGAAUUGCAAUGGAGGUGGGGACAUAGCAAGAGGAGCUGUCCAAGCCAGAGCGGAAUUGAAAGGCACCUGCCUGAGCCCCAGAAAAAAGUCAGCAAUUCCCAGGUGGAGACUGUCGCUUGGCGAGUAACACAGAGCUGGGACGCUUCUGAUUCCAGCUGCUGGAUUUCCAUCAAUCAGCCAGGGCUCUAAGCUAGGAGAACGACGGAAGCGAUUGCAAGUGAUGCUUCUCCCUCUUCUGCACUGAAAUGUGUGAAAGAAAGGAGAAGAGAGGAGCAGAAGAGAGGAG